CUAUUGGGCAGAAGGCUAACUUUUGCAUGACGGCAUAUCAACGAAUACAACGCAAAAGUGCCGCCCUCUCCGUUGUCAUCAGCUCUAAGUACCACAAAGACAUACUUGAACAAGGGGACCAAUGUGAGAGUCCAGAAAACAAAAGACAGAACACCAAAAAUCUCUUCAUUGGAGUCUGAAUGCUGGAUAUCUUCUGCAAAUGU
This 203-nucleotide unclassified non-coding RNA is filed under the name Hevea brasiliensis (rubber tree). Lineage: Eukaryota; Viridiplantae; Streptophyta; Magnoliopsida; Malpighiales; Euphorbiaceae. The record is from RNAcentral.